GACGUAGGAGGGGAACCCCGGAAACUGGGGAUAAUACCCCAUAGAUUAGGGGCGCUGGAAUGCCCCCUAGUUCAAAGGUCCGCCGCCUCAGGAUGGGUCUGCGGCCGAUUAGGUUGUUGUUGGGGUAACGGCCCAACAAGCCAUUGAUCGGUACGGGUUGUGGGAGCAAGAGCCCGGAGAUGGAUUCUGAGACACGAAUCCAGGCCCUACGGGGCGCAGCAGGCGCGAAAACUUUACAAUGCGAGAAAUCGUGAUAAGGGAACCCCGAGUGCCCGUAAAUUCGGGCUGUCCGCCAGUGCAAAAAACUGGUGAAGAAAGAGCCGGGCAAGACUGGUGCCAGCCGCCGCGGUAAUACCGGCGGCUCGAGUGGUGGCCACUAUUACUGGGCUUAAAGCGUCCGUAGCUUGGUUGUUAAGUCUCCUGGGAAAUCCAUCGGCUCAACCGAUGGGCGUUCAGGAGAUACUGGCAACCUAGGGACCGGGAGAGGUGAGAGGUACUCCAGGGGUAGGAGUGAAAUCCUGUAAUCCUUGGGGGACCACCUGUGGCGAAGGCGUCUCACUAGAACGGCUCCGACAGUGAGGGACGAAAGCUGGGGGAGCAAACCGGAUUAGAUACCCGGGUAGUCCCAGCCGUAAACGAUGCGCGUUAGGUGUAUCGGUGACCACGAGUCGCCGAGGUGCCGAAGGGAAACCGUGAAACGUGCCGCCUGGGAAGUACGGUCGCAAGGCUGAAACUUAAAGGAAUUGGCGGGGGAGCAC
This 758-nucleotide ribosomal RNA is filed under the name uncultured archaeon. RNAcentral's name for it is "bacterial SSU rRNA". It matches the Rfam family "Archaeal small subunit ribosomal RNA", at positions 112 to 879 of the family's 1478-position model. The record is from RNAcentral.